AUUUGCGCAGCAUAGGUGGGAGGCAUUGAGUUUAUUCUUGCGGGAAUUUAGGAGCCAUCAGUGAGAUACCACUCUGGUAAUGUUAGAUUUCUAACUUUGUAUCAUGAUCUGGUCAAAGAACAGUUUCAGGCGGGCAGUUUGACUGGGGCGGUCGCCUCCCAAAUGGUAACGGAGGCGUACAAAGGUUUCCUCUGAACGUGUAGAAAUCGUAUCUAGAGUGUAAAGGCAUAAGGAAGCUUGACUGUGAGACCUACAAGUCGAGCAGGGACGGAAGUCGGUCUUAGUGAUCUGACGGUGCUGAGUGGAAAGGCCGUCACUCAACGGAUAAAAGUUACUCUAGGGAUAACAGGCUGAA
Molecule: ribosomal RNA, 355 nt
Filed under: uncultured eukaryote
Lineage: Eukaryota
Description: LSU rRNA
Rfam family: Bacterial large subunit ribosomal RNA
Source: RNAcentral